RNAcentral lists this ribosomal RNA (225 nucleotides) under Pythium sp. F-152.2. RNAcentral describes it as "5.8S ribosomal RNA". The stretch from base 68 to 222 matches the Rfam family "5.8S ribosomal RNA". Rfam says of the family: 5.8S ribosomal RNA (5.8S rRNA) is a component of the large subunit of the eukaryotic ribosome. It is transcribed by RNA polymerase I as part of the 45S precursor that also contains 18S and 28S rRNA. Lineage: Eukaryota; Oomycota; Peronosporomycetes; Pythiales; Pythiaceae. The record is from RNAcentral.
CAAACCCAUUACACAAUACUACUGAUUCAUACUGUGAGGACGAAAGUCUUUGCUUUUACUAGAUAACAACUUUCAGCAGUGGAUGUCUAGGCUCGCACAUCGAUGAAGAACGCUGCGAACUGCGAUACGUAAUGCGAAUUGCAGAAUUCAGUGAGUCAUCGAAAUUUUGAACGCAUAUUGCACUUUCGGGUUAUGCCUGGAAGUAUGUCUGUAUCAGUGUCCGUA